GUGAAUCAUCAAAUCUUUGAACGCAAAUUGCACUCUCUGGUAUUCCGGGGAGUAUGCCUGUUUGAGGGUCAGUUUAAAUUAAAAAUCGUGGGGUUGCUUUUUUUUUUGAUGCAUCGGAAUUGGGCCAUCUUUGUUCUUUGGAUUUUUUAAGAGACCUAAAAUUGAUACUUUUUGCAUCUCAGACUUACAUAAAGAAUAUUUUUUUGUUAUUAGUUCGGUGCUUCCC
RNAcentral lists this unclassified non-coding RNA (226 nucleotides) under Glomeraceae sp. RNAcentral's name for it is "partial contains 5.8S ribosomal RNA and internal transcribed spacer 2". The stretch from base 1 to 71 matches the Rfam family "5.8S ribosomal RNA", at positions 84 to 154 of the family's 154-position model. Lineage: Eukaryota; Fungi; Glomeromycota; Glomeromycetes; Glomerales; Glomeraceae. The record is from RNAcentral.